Macaca fascicularis (crab-eating macaque) is the source of this 1592-nucleotide long non-coding RNA. Lineage: Eukaryota; Metazoa; Chordata; Mammalia; Primates; Cercopithecidae. The record is from Ensembl.
UUUUUAUUUUUUUUUUCGAGACAGAGUCUCACUCUGUUGCCCAGGCUGAAGGGCAGUGGUACAAUCUCAGUUCACUGCAACCUCAGCCUCUCAGGUUCAAGUGAUCCUCCAACCUCACCCUCCUGAGUAGCUAGCACUACAGGUACAUGCCACCACACCUGGCUAAUUUUUGGAUUUUUAGUAGAGACAGGGUUUUGCCACGUUGCCCAGGCUGGUCUUGAACUCCUGGCCUCAAGUGAUCUGCCUACCUUGACCUCUCAAAGUGCUGGGAUUACAGCUGUGAGCCACCACCACGAUUGGCCUGAUGGAAAUCUUUUAAAAACAAUUAGGUUCCCAGAUUCCCUUCCUUGCUGCGUGCAGCCAGACCUUUGAAGAGGGUAAAACAAAGAGUCUCUGGAAAGCAGAAUAACAGACAAAGCUGAGCCCAGGUUACUCUGUCUGAUCCAUGGAUCUCCCUUAAACAUUCGUGACAAAGGGUAAGCCAGUCUUAUGCUUGAACCCAUGCGGUGACAAAGAACUCCCUCUUGCCCAGUAAUAAUAGCAACUAACCCUUACUGAGUGCUAGCUGUGUGCCUGGCCCUUUAAGCCCUUCCCAUAUACUGACUCUUCGAAAGUUGGCUCAUUCCAAAUUUGGACAGCUCGGUUUGUAAAAGGUUCAGACAGGCCUCUAAAGUUUCCCUCCUACCUUCAUGUGUCUCUUAACUGAGGAGGAAGGAGGAUUUUCAUGUUGGGAUGGCAGGUCCAUAGAGAUUAUAUAUGGCAAGAGAAAUGUUCAUUGUGUUACAUGUUUAUCAUCAAAAGCGCAGUCUAUACUGGGCUCUAAAGUAAUAGCAAUAGUCAUAGUUAUUGCAAAGCCUGUACUCACUCUACAUGCAUUUACCUCACUUGAUUCACAUAACAAUAGUAUUUUUCUACAAACUGAUUCUUUGAAAGAUUAAGUGUUCUAAGGUUACAGAGCUAGUAACCAGCCUUCUGGCCCAGUCUGUCUGACCCAGAGGCUGAGCUGUUAAUCACAAGAGUCAAUACAAGUUUUCAUCUACUAUGUUUCUGAGAAGUAUGUACUAGAAAAAUCUCUGACUUUGGUGAAGAUCUGAGCUCUGCUUCCUCCUCUGCUACUUUCCUGUGAGCUUGAGCAAAUUUUCUCUUUUCCUUAAGUAUAAAACAAGAGAGCUGGACUAGAUGAUCUCAAAAGCCCAAAUUUAAUUCUAAUCAUCUAUAUUCCAAGUUAAAGGUGUCUAUAAUCCUUCCCCAUCUGGUAACAUUUCUUGGAGCAUCCAAUUAACAUGUGGAGAUGAUGAUGAUGAUGAUGAUGAUGAUGAUGAAUGAAUGAAUGUACGAAUGAAUGAAGUGAAAUCUUUCACAUUUUCUUUUGCAAAAGGCUGCCCCUGGUCAGAUAUUCCUAGAGGAGGAAAGAGAGUUCUUGUCUCCCUUUUCGGUUUCAGUUGCUUUUCACCAGUUGGCCUCAAAUCUACGGUGUAAAUAAAGCCAGCUUCACCCCCAGGCCUUUCUCUCAAGGCCCAGCUGUAGGCUAGAAGCAGAAAGUGAAUAUGCAGAGUGGCCAAUUAGUUCACUGUGUGCCCUCAUGACCUCUG